RNAcentral lists this ribosomal RNA (494 nucleotides) under uncultured bacterium. RNAcentral's name for it is "partial 16S ribosomal RNA". It matches the Rfam family "Bacterial small subunit ribosomal RNA", at positions 28 to 507 of the family's 1533-position model. The record is from RNAcentral.
GACGAACGCUGGCGGCGCGCUUAACACAUGCAAGUCGAACGGAAAGGCCUGCUUUCCCUUGUGGAUUGCGGGUACUCGGGUGGCGAACGGGUGAGUAACACGUGAGUGAUCGGCCCCCAACUUGGGUAUAAGCCUGGGAUACUGGGUCGAAUUCCCGAUAGGACUGCAGGGUGGUGCCUGUGGAGGAAAACGUUUUUCUAGUGGAUGCGGAUGAGCUCGCGGCCUAUAAGCUUGUUGGUGGGGUAAUGGCCUACCAGGGCGGCAAAGGGUAGCCGGCCUGAGAGUGUGUACCGCGACGUUGAGACUGAGCGACGGCCCUGGCACCGACGGGAGGCAGCAAUGGUGAAUAUUGGACGAUGUGGGGAAUAUUGAUGCAGCGACGACGUGUGGGGGAUGACGGGCUUCGGGAUGUAAACUGCUUUGGAGCGCGAGAAAGCCACCUGGUUGAAAGGGUAGUGACGGUAGCGGUAGAAGAAGCACCGGCUAACUACGUG